AUUGAACGCUGGCGGAAUGCUUUACACAUGCAAGUCGAACGGCAGCACGGACUUCGGUCUGGUGGCGAGUGGCGAACGGGUGAGUAAUGUAUCGGAACGUGCCCAGUCGUGGGGGAUAACGUAGUGAAAAUUACGCUAAUACCGCAUACGAUCUAUGGAUGAAAGCGGGGGAUCGCAAGACCUCGCGCGAUUGGAGCGGCCGAUAUCAGAUUAGGUAGUUGGUGGGGUAAAGGUCCACCAAGCCAACGAUCUGUAGCUGGUCUGAGAGGACGAGCAGCCACACUGGAAUUGAGACACGGUCCAGACUCCUACGGGAGGCAGCAGUGGGGAAUUUUGGACAAUGGGCGAAAGCCUGAUCCAGCCAUUCCGCGUGCAGGAUGAAGGCCCUCGGGUUGUAAACUGCUUUUGUACAGAACGAAAAGGUUUCUACUAAUACUAGGAGCUCAUGACGGUACUGUAAGAAUAAGCACCGGCUAACUACGUGCCAGCCGCCGCCGUAA
This 500-nucleotide ribosomal RNA is filed under the name uncultured bacterium. RNAcentral's name for it is "partial 16S ribosomal RNA". It matches the Rfam family "Bacterial small subunit ribosomal RNA", at positions 30 to 523 of the family's 1533-position model. The record is from RNAcentral.